RNAcentral lists this ribosomal RNA (467 nucleotides) under uncultured bacterium. RNAcentral describes it as "partial 16S ribosomal RNA". It matches the Rfam family "Bacterial small subunit ribosomal RNA", at positions 28 to 506 of the family's 1533-position model. The record is from RNAcentral.
GACGAACGCUGGCGGCGUGCUUAACACGUGCAAGUCGAACGGAAAGGCCCUGCUUUUGUGGGGUGCUCGAGUGGCGAACGGGUGAGUAACACGUGAGUAACCUGCCCUUGACUUUGGGAUAACUUCAGGAAACUGGGGCUAAUACCGGAUAGGAGCUCCUGCUGCAUGGUGGGGGUUGGAAAGUUUCGGCGGUUGGGGAUGGACUCGCGGCUUAUCAGCUUGUUGGUGGGGUAGUGGCUUACCAAGGCUUUGACGGGUAGCCGGCCUGAGAGGGUGACCGGCCACAUUGGGACUGAGAUACGGCCCAGACUCCUACGGGAGGCAGCAGUGGGGAAUAUUGCACAAUGGGCGGAAGCCUGAUGCAGCAACGCCGCGUGCGGGAUGACGGCCUUCGGGUUGUAAACCGCUUUCGCCUGUGACGAAGCGUGAGUGACGGGAAUGGGUAAAGAAGCACCGGCUAACUACGU